RNAcentral lists this ribosomal RNA (468 nucleotides) under uncultured bacterium. RNAcentral describes it as "partial 16S ribosomal RNA". It matches the Rfam family "Bacterial small subunit ribosomal RNA", at positions 28 to 507 of the family's 1533-position model. The record is from RNAcentral.
GACGAACGCUGGCGGCGUGCUUAGCACAUGCAAGUCGAACGGAAAGGCCCUGCUUUUGUGGGGUGCUCGAGUGGCGAACGGGUGAGUAACACGUGAGUAACCUGCCCUUGACUUUGGGAUAACUUCAGGAAACUGGGGCUAAUACCGGAUAGGAGCUCCUGCUGCAUGGUGGGGGUUGGAAAGUUUCGGCGGUUGGGGAUGGACUCGCGGCUUAUCAGCUUGUUGGUGGGGUAGUGGCUUACCAAGGCUUUGACGGGUAGCCGGCCUGAGAGGGUGACCGGCCACAUUGGGACUGAGAUACGGCCCAGACUCGUACGGGAGGCAGCAGUGGGGAAUAUUGCACAGUGGGCGGAAGCCUGAUGCAGCAACGCCGCGUGCGGGAUGACGGCCUUCGGGUUGUAAACCGCUUUCGCCUGUGACGAAGCGUGAGUGACGGUAAUGGGUAAAGAAGCACCGGCUAACUACGUG